This 365-nucleotide long non-coding RNA is filed under the name Capsicum annuum. RNAcentral describes it as "long non-coding RNA (CANN_LNC011300)". Lineage: Eukaryota; Viridiplantae; Streptophyta; Magnoliopsida; Solanales; Solanaceae. The record is from RNAcentral.
CGCGCACCCCCCUACAAAUGACAAAAAGAGAUUUAUAAAAAAUUACUAUUUAUAAUUCACUUACAGAGAUCUAAAUGAAAAGUGAUCAUUAGAUAAUGAAUGAGGAUAAAUAUAAUAAUGUGUAAUUAAAGUAAGGAACACAUGUACCAAUUCUAUUGCAUAAAUUUUUUUGUGAGGACUAUAUAUCUUAUCCUAUUCUAGCUUAUAUAGAAGUAUAAUAUUAAAAUUACUAUAAUAACUUUGUGAGGUCUAGAAAAUUUUGGUAUUCAUAUAUUAGGAAUAAAAAAAAUUAUAUGUAAAACAUAAUAGAGGGAAAAACAAUAAAUAUUUCGUGAUUGCUAAAGUAGAGAAAUAAAAAAUGACUA